This 478-nucleotide ribosomal RNA is filed under the name uncultured bacterium. RNAcentral's name for it is "bacterial SSU rRNA". It matches the Rfam family "Bacterial small subunit ribosomal RNA", at positions 29 to 506 of the family's 1533-position model. The record is from RNAcentral.
UUGAACGCUGGCGGCAUGCCUUACACAUGCAAGUCGAACGGUAGAGGAGCAAUCCUCGAGAGUGGCGAACGGGUGAGUAAUGUAUCGGAACGUGCCCAGUAGUGGGGGAUAGCCCGGCGAAAGCCGGAUUAAUACCGCAUGAUACCUGAGGGUGAAAGCGGGGGACUCGCAAGAGCCUCGCGCUACUGGAGCGGCCGAUAUCAGAUUAGGUAGUUGGUGGGGUAAAAGCCUACCAAGCCUGCGAUCUGUAGCUGGUCUGAGAGGACGACCAGCCACACUGGGACUGAGACACGGCCCAGACUCCUACGGGAGGCAGCAGUGGGGAAUUUUGGACAAUGGGCGAAAGCCUGAUCCAGCCAUGCCGCGUGCGGGAAGAAGGCCUUCGGGUUGUAAAGCUCUUUCAGCAGGAACGAAACGGUGGCCCCUAAUACGGGCUACUAAUGACGGUACCUGAAGAAGAAGCACCGGCUAACUACGU